GGCAGCACAGAGAAGCUUGCUUCUUGGGUGGCGAGUGGCGAACGGGUGAGUAACAUAUCGGAACGUACCGAGUAAUGGGGGAUAACUAAUCGAAAGAUUAGCUAAUACCGCAUAUUCUCUGAGGAGGAAAGCAGGGGACCUUCGGGCCUUGCGUUAUUCGAGCGGCCGAUAUCUGAUUAGCUAGUUGGUGGGGUAAAGGCCUACCAAGGCGACGAUCAGUAGCGGGUCUGAGAGGAUGAUCCGCCACACUGGGACUGAGACACGGCCCAGACUCCUACGGGAGGCAGCAGUGGGGAAUUUUGGACAAUGGGCGCAAGCCUGAUCCAGCCAUGCCGCGUGUCUGAAGAAGGCCUUCGGGUUGUAAAGGACUUUUGUCAGGGAAGAAAAGGCUGUUGCUAAUACCGACAGCUGAUGACGGUACCUGAAGAAUAAGCACCGGCUAACUACGUGC
This 451-nucleotide ribosomal RNA is filed under the name Neisseria mucosa C102. RNAcentral's name for it is "bacterial SSU rRNA". It matches the Rfam family "Bacterial small subunit ribosomal RNA", at positions 65 to 508 of the family's 1533-position model. The record is from RNAcentral. Lineage: Bacteria; Pseudomonadati; Pseudomonadota; Betaproteobacteria; Neisseriales; Neisseriaceae.